This is a long non-coding RNA of Zea mays, 289 nucleotides long. RefSeq lists it as uncharacterized. NCBI's taxonomy places the organism in Eukaryota, Viridiplantae, Streptophyta, Magnoliopsida, Poales, Poaceae. The transcript is spliced from 2 exons. The record is from RefSeq and is a predicted model, not a curated record.
CUUGUACUGACCACGCACGCACUUCUUCACUUGUUCGUGGAGCAGAGAACGAGCAGGGCAUAUUCGAAGAGGUUUUGCACGGGAGGCUCGACUUCGACGCGGAGCCAUGGCCCAGCGUCUCCGAAGGCGCCAAGGAUCUUGUGAGGAGAAUGCUCAUCAGGGACCCGAGGAAGAGACUGACCGCUCAUGAAGUUCUACGGCAUCCUUGGGUCCAGGUUGGUGGUUUGGCUCCUGACAAGCCGCUGGACUCGGCUGUUCUUUCUCGCAUGAAGCAGUUCUCGGCCAUGAA